This 253-nucleotide ribosomal RNA is filed under the name uncultured bacterium. RNAcentral's name for it is "partial 16S ribosomal RNA". It matches the Rfam family "Bacterial small subunit ribosomal RNA", at positions 524 to 776 of the family's 1533-position model. The record is from RNAcentral.
GACAGAGGGUGCAAACGUUGUUCGGAAUUACUGGGCGUAAAGGGCGCGUAGGCGGCCUGUUAAGUCGAACGUGAAAUCCCCGGGCUCAACCCGGGAACUGCGUCCGAUACUGGCAGGCUUGAAUCCGGGAGAGGGAUGCGGAAUUCCAGGUGUAGCGGUGAAAUGCGCAGAUAUCAGGAGGAACACCGGUGGCGAAGGCGGGUCUCUGGGCCGAUACUGACGCUGAGGAGCGAAAGCGUGGGGAGCAAACAGG